GGAGUCAUGGCUCAGUUGUAGAACAUCUGAUUUGCAUGCAGAAGGUCACAGUUUCAAUCACUAAUGUUUCCA
Non-coding RNA from Podarcis lilfordi (Lilford's wall lizard), 72 nucleotides. The record is from the annotation of a GenBank genome assembly. NCBI's taxonomy places the organism in Eukaryota, Metazoa, Chordata, Lepidosauria, Squamata, Lacertidae.